GACGAACGCUGGCGGCGUGCUUAACACAUGCAAGUCGAACGGAAAGGCCCUGCUUUUGUGGGGUGCUCGGGUGGCGAACGGGUGAGUAACACGUGAGUAACCUGCCCUUGACUUUGGGAUAACUUCAGGAAACUGGGGCUAAUACCGGAUAGGAGCUCCUGCUGCAUGGUGGGGGUUGGAAAGUUUCGGCGGUUGGGGAUGGACUCGCGGCUUAUCAGCUUGUUGGUGGGGUAGUGGCUUACCAAGGCUUUGACGGGUAGCCGGCCUGAGAGGGUGACCGGCCACAUUGGGACUGAGAUACGGCCCAGACUCCCACGGGAGGCAGCAGUGGGGAAUAUUGCACAAUGGGCGGAAGCCUGAUGCAGCAACGCCGCGUGCGGGAUGACGGCCUUCGGGUUGUAAACCGCUUUCGCCUGUGACGAAGCGUGAGUGACGGUAAUGGGUAAAGAAGCACCGGCUAACUACGUG
This 468-nucleotide ribosomal RNA is filed under the name uncultured bacterium. Its description in RNAcentral is "partial 16S ribosomal RNA". It matches the Rfam family "Bacterial small subunit ribosomal RNA", at positions 28 to 507 of the family's 1533-position model. The record is from RNAcentral.